Molecule: ribosomal RNA, 253 nt
Filed under: uncultured bacterium
Lineage: Bacteria
Description: partial 16S ribosomal RNA
Rfam family: Bacterial small subunit ribosomal RNA
Source: RNAcentral
UACGUAGGUGGCAAGCGUUGUCCGGAUUUACUGGGCGUAAAGGGCGUGCAGGCGGUCUGUUAAGUCUAGGGUGAAAGCUCCCGGCUCAACUGGGAGAGGUCCUUGGAUACUGGCGGACUUGAGGGAUGCAGAGGAAAGUGGAAUUCCUGGUGUAGCGGUGAAAUGCGUAGAUAUCAGGAGGAACGCCGGUGGUGUAGACGGCUCUCUGGACCAUUACUGACGCUGAGGUACGAAAGCGUGGGUAGCAAACAGG